This 375-nucleotide ribosomal RNA is filed under the name uncultured eukaryote. RNAcentral describes it as "partial 18S ribosomal RNA". It matches the Rfam family "Eukaryotic small subunit ribosomal RNA", at positions 592 to 976 of the family's 1831-position model. The record is from RNAcentral.
CAAUAGCGUAUAUUUAAGUUGUUGCAGUUAAAAAGCUCGUAGUUGGAUUUCGGUUAAGAGCGACCGGUCCGCCGUUUGGUGUGCACUGGUUGGUUUUAACUUCCUGUAGAGGACGUGCUCUGGGUUUAACGACCUGGACUCGGAGUCUACGUGGUUACUUUGAAAAAAUUAGAGUGUUCAAAGCGGGCUUACGCUUGAAUAUUUCAGCAUGGAAUAACACUAUAGGACUCCUGUCCUAUUUCGUUGGUCUCGGGACGGGAGUAAUGAUUAAGAGGAACAGUUGGGGGCAUUCGUAUUUCAUUGUCAGAGGUGAAAUUCUUGGAUUUAUGAAAGACGAACUUCUGCGAAAGCAUUUGCCAAGGAUGUUUUCAUUGG